CUUUAUUAUUUGCAGACAUGACUUGGGAAUUAUUGAAAGCAAGAUUUCUGGGUGACAGGAGUGGGCGAGGAGAGGUAAACAGUGAAGAACAAUGCAGUCAGACACAGAAGGUCUUAGAUCAUUUAAGUAAUUGGGCAAAAAGGUGACAAAUCCAGUUCAGUGCAGAUAAAUGUAGAAUAAUGACUCUUGGAACAAAAUAAAUAAAGACAGAAAAUGUUGAGCAAGAGACUGCAUCACCUUACUGACUAGCCAAGAGAUUUGGAGAGCUAAUGGAGGGAAAUUUCCCUAAUGAUUUGGAUAUAACUUCUCCUGAAUGGGUGGAAUUCAAUGGAAUAAGAAAAAUGUCAAGAAUUUAAUUUUUCAUAGACAUAGAGCUCUCUUAGGUUAUCUUGUCCAUCCUCUUGCAUCAGCUGAGAGACAAUUCUUUCUGCAAAGAACCCUAUUAUGUUGAAUUAUGAGGACUGUCAAGGUGAUUUAUAGGAGAGAUUUAGUUAGUGUGAACAUUUUUGCUAGCCAACACAAAAUCCAGAAUGUUUUGAAUGAGAUUCUGACCUCCCUGACACAGAUGUAAAUAAAACCACCUGUAAAAUCUUCAGCAGAAUCUCUCAUGCUCUAUAGAAGUAAAUACACACUUAUUCUUGCAACUGGAGUUUUACUGCAGGCUUUGCAAUUCUGGGAUUUUAGCUACAGCUGAGACAAUGCAGAAUCCAGUGGAGAUGAGUUUUCUUCAAGGGAAAUUCAUCAGACCUGUGAAGCCCAAGCUGAUUUAAGGCUGUUGAUUGGAAUCCUCCUUCACCUCUUUCAUGGCUGCUGCUGUUAAUUCAGUUCAGAUGUUGAUCUGAAUAAAAGAUUAUCUCCUCGCUCAGCAGACUCACUGUCUUCAGAAGGUACUAUUGGAAAGUGAGAAGAGUUGGAGUUGACUCCUGCAGUCCAUUUCUACAGUGAUUUUCAAAGAGAUGGACAUGCAAAGUGGAAAAGAGAAGAUGUGGAAAUGUGGCAAUCCUUUGAUCCUUUCCAAGAUUUUCCAUUACAAAGCGCAGGGAGAAGUCCAGAAUCAGCUGUAAGAGACAAGUACAACCGGUGUUUGAUGGAAGUUGUCUGCUAUCAUCCCAGAUGGAUAAAAAUAGAAGUUGCUGAAAUGCUGGAGCUGAGUCAGAAGGCCAGAGGAUACCAUCCACAGGACUUAAUUCUCAAUCUUGAUAACAGGCUCAGAGCAGGACUCCAAGAAGAGCUGUUGUAG
Molecule: long non-coding RNA, 1240 nt
Filed under: Cyanistes caeruleus (blue tit)
Lineage: Eukaryota; Metazoa; Chordata; Aves; Passeriformes; Paridae
Description: lncRNA (ENSCCEG00000012594.1)
Source: RNAcentral